CCGAGGCCCCCGUUUUCCCCGGGGCGAUCCCACCCCACCUCGAGGCAUCGGGCGCCGCUUCCCCGACCGUCCUCUGCUGCGAGGGACGCAACGGGGAAAAGGGGGCAGCGCCGCCGCCGCCCUCCGGCUUCCGGCCUCCGGCUCCAUGACCUGCCGCCCCUCCUCCGCAUCCGGGCGCCGACACCUCUGCCCCUUCAUUCCCGUCGGUCACUCCACAUCCGCCGCCCCUCCGCCCCUCGGCCUCCCCGUCGCUGCAACCGCUCAGCCUCCCCGUCGAUCUGCAGCCGCGCCUCUAGCUGCACAUAUCUCGGCCAUUACUCUUCUCCAAGAACCACUCCUUGUUCAUCUUUUUGCUGGUUACUCUUGACCUAGGUCCUCUCUUUAUGUGAUCAUCCAGCUCUCUUGGACAAAAGCGAAACUCAUGCUCUAUACAGUUCAGAUGCUAUAGAGAGAGCAUGGAAUUCUGGACAAUAUACCAGGAAGAGCGAUGGGAGCCUAUAACCAUAGUCAGGGUAUAAAAGGUUUGUGUGAUGUAAUUGCUGCUCGUGAUGGGUUUCAUGCCAGCGGAGACAACAUCUUCCUAACAGACGGAGCAAGCCCAGCAGUAUGUAAUCCAUGUCUUCUUUGAUCAGCUGUAUUCUGCAUCGAUUGCUCUUCAUGGUGGUUCCCUUAUCUUGUUGACUUCAAGGUCGUCAUCUCCAAGAUCCAGUUCUUUGUCUGAGAUCACGCACAGCAGUCAACUGUGAAGUGACAAGGACAAUGUGAAGCUUGUGAAGGUCCUGGGGAUGCCAAUAACAUUUGACCGUUGGUGUACUGAUUCUAUAGAAGUUCAAGGCCAAUGUGAAGCGGCAAGAACAAUGUGAAGCUUGUGAAAAGAGUUAAAAGUUAUAAAUUAUUGCUCUAGUGCCAUAGUAAUAUGUGAGAAUGGAGAUGACCUAUGAUAUGAUGAGGAAAGGAUUUGCUUAGUUGGAUAUUAUAUGUUACUUUAUUUAAACUUUUGCAUAGCUUUUGAGUUAAACGUUACAUAUUACUUUAUAUUACUUUCUUACGUAUGUGCUUUUUA
Molecule: long non-coding RNA, 1063 nt
Organism: Panicum virgatum (switchgrass)
Lineage: Eukaryota; Viridiplantae; Streptophyta; Magnoliopsida; Poales; Poaceae
Exons: 7
Source: RefSeq, a predicted model, not a curated record